Ictidomys tridecemlineatus (thirteen-lined ground squirrel) is the source of this 1568-nucleotide long non-coding RNA. RefSeq lists it as uncharacterized. NCBI's taxonomy places the organism in Eukaryota, Metazoa, Chordata, Mammalia, Rodentia, Sciuridae. The record is from RefSeq and is a predicted model, not a curated record.
CUGCCUUUAUUUAUGUAAUUUCUGAGUCUCCAUUUUCUUCUUUCCACUCUUGGGAAAUACUGAUGAUCAGCAUGUUGCCUGGAUAGAAACAGGUGCUGCAGGUCUGGAGGGACCAGGCUAAGGGCUGGACUAAGUCAGCGUGGAUUGGCAGGCAGAUGUCAGCUGGCAGGUGUGUUCUGCUCUCUCCUCUGCAAGACAGAGCUUUGCAGGUGCUGGAGAUUACAGAGCCAGCGAGGGAAGCAAAUGAAACGUGCGGCAUCGCAGACAGGAAGAAGCUUGGCCAGGAUGGCCCCAUUUCAGUGAACUCCUAGUCCCUGGACUAGGAAUCUCUGCCUCAGUUGCCAGUAAGACUCUGCCAGCCCAGACAGCAUGUCAGAAGUACCUAGUGGGGCUUUUUAACCCAUGACUUUAUAAAGACAGCAAAAAGGCUAAUGGGGAAUGACUGGCUCCAACUAUGAAAUAAGAAUUAGGUACAGUUUGUUACACAGUUUAACCCUAACACAUUUUUCAUGUCCCACAAGCCAUAAAUGAUAUACGGUGGAGUUCUGGAAUCCAUUUCCACGCCCUUUUAACCCCAGACUUGUCUAUAGGCAAAUGUCUCUCUCUCUGAUCCUGUUCAGAUUGCUGCUCCCUUCUCUGCCCCAGUUCUCACGUAUUUGCUGAUUUCUUCAGACUCUACCAUUUAAGUUCCAAACCAGUUUAUGUUGAUGAAGCAGAGAUACUGCUAUGUGUUCACCCAAAUUCUCAUUUUGAUGGAACACAGAGGAAAACUCAUUUCCCAGCUUCUCCGGCAGUGGGAGGCAGUGCUGGGCCCUGGCCAAUGGGAUGUGGGCAGAUGUGAUCCCUGUCACAACCAUCGCUGCAUGAGCCUCCCUAACCCUCGCCCCAUACAACCACAUCCAAUUGCAACAGAAGCGAGAAGUAAACUUUUAUUGUUUUACUUCAGUGAGAUCUGGGGAUAAUUUGUUGGAAUGCUCAGAAUAGACUUUCUCUUAGAUCAAGGUUGAGAAUACCAACUUCUAAGAAUUCUUUGUUUCUAUCAACUAUGACUCUAAGUACAGAGUUUGAGUACAUUUCCCCUUGACCAUAUAUAAAAUCCAGAAUUGCUUUCAUCCAGUUCAAUCCCUAUUAUCUGGCAUCUCUGGUCUCUGAAUGCAGUGCUAGACUUCUCUGUUCCAGUCGAUAUCACCCUGAGUUGUAUCGCAUAGGGGAGAUUUUGAAUACUUCAUAACGUUUUGGUAUGUACAAUAUGAAAAAUUCAUUUUGCUCAAAAUUCACCUCUGGUUCUUUCUUGCAUAGCAGCAUCAAAUAACAGCCCAGAAACUGCAAGCUCUCCUGGCCAGUGGGGUCACUUCAGUUCAUUUGUUUUUGAGCACUGGAGGAAAAGGACAAUAUAGAUCAGUGGAAAGAGCACAGGAUUUGGUUGUUGAUCUGGAUUUUAAUUCAGGUACUUUUAUGAACUUGCUGGGUGACUUUGGACAAGUUGCAACUUGCCUUGGCCUCUGUUCUUCUGUUUCGUCACCUAUGAUACGCUGUUUUGAAAAAUAAACAUUAUCUUCUUAGGUUUA